UCCGUAGUGACCUGCGGAAGAUCAUA
This 26-nucleotide ribosomal RNA is filed under the name uncultured Glomus. RNAcentral's name for it is "partial 18S ribosomal RNA". Lineage: Eukaryota; Fungi; Glomeromycota; Glomeromycetes; Glomerales; Glomeraceae. The record is from RNAcentral.